Molecule: ribosomal RNA, 703 nt
Filed under: uncultured Staphylococcus sp.
Lineage: Bacteria; Bacillati; Bacillota; Bacilli; Caryophanales; Staphylococcaceae
Description: bacterial SSU rRNA
Rfam family: Bacterial small subunit ribosomal RNA
Source: RNAcentral
ACAUGCAGGUCGAGCGAACAGACGAGGAGCUUGCUCCUCUGACGUUAGCGGCGGACGGGUGAGUAACACGUGGAUAACCUACCUAUAAGACUGGGAUAACUUCGGGAAACCGGAGCUAAUACCGGAUAAUAUAUUGAACCGCAUGGUUCAAUAGUGAAAGACGGUUUUGCUGUCACUUAUAGAUGGAUCCGCGCCGCAUUAGCUAGUUGGUAAGGUAACGGCUUACCAAGGCAACGAUGCGUAGCCGACCUGAGAGGGUGAUCGGCCACACUGGAACUGAGACACGGUCCAGACUCCUACGGGAGGCAGCAGUAGGGAAUCUUCCGCAAUGGGCGAAAGCCUGACGGAGCAACGCCGCGUGAGUGAUGAAGGUCUUCGGAUCGUAAAACUCUGUUAUUAGGGAAGAACAAAUGUGUAAGUAACUAUGCACGUCUUGACGGUACCUAAUCAGAAAGCCACGGCUAACUACGUGCCAGCAGCCGCGGUAAUACGUAGGUGGCAAGCGUUAUCCGGAAUUAUUGGGCGUAAAGCGCGCGUAGGCGGUUUUUUAAGUCUGAUGUGAAAGCCCACGGCUCAACCGUGGAGGGUCAUUGGAAACUGGAAAACUUGAGUGCAGAAGAGGAAAGUGGAAUUCCAUGUGUAGCGGUGAAAUGCGCAGAGAUAUGGAGGAACACCAGUGGCGAAGGCGACUUUCUGGUCUGUA